RNAcentral lists this ribosomal RNA (529 nucleotides) under Bombus trifasciatus. Its description in RNAcentral is "partial 16S ribosomal RNA". The stretch from base 377 to 529 matches the Rfam family "Bacterial large subunit ribosomal RNA", at positions 2473 to 2626 of the family's 2925-position model. The record is from RNAcentral. Lineage: Eukaryota; Metazoa; Arthropoda; Insecta; Hymenoptera; Apidae.
GGCCUAUUGAAUAUAAUUUUAGGUCGAUCUGCCCAAUGAUUUUGAAUUUAAUGGCUGCGGUAUUUUGACUGUACAAAGGUAGCAUAAUCAAUUGUUUUUUAAUUGGAAACUGGAAUGAAAGAAUUAAUGAGAUAUAUACUGUCUCAUAUAUAAUAAAUGAAUUUAAAUUUUUAGUUAAAAUGCUUAAAUUAUUUUAUGGGACGAUAAGACCCUAUAGAAUUUUAUAUUAAUAUAAAUAGUUAUGUUUAUAAAAUUUUUAUAUUAAUAUUUAAUUGGGAGGAUUAGUAAAUUUAAAGAACUUUAUUUUAAAUUUAAACUUUGAUUUAAGAAUUUUUUUUGAUCUUGUAUUAUAAAAAUAAGAAUAAAUUACCUUAGGGAUAACAGCGUAAUAUCUUUUUAAAGGUCAUAUUGAUAAAGAUGAUUGCGACCUCGAUGUUGAAUUAAGAUAAAUUUUAGAUGGAGAAGUUUAAAAAUUAAGUCUGUUCGACUUUUAAAAUCUUACAUGAUUUGAGUUCAAAUCGACGUGAGU